This 942-nucleotide ribosomal RNA is filed under the name Cadophora sp. Its description in RNAcentral is "partial large subunit ribosomal RNA". It matches the Rfam family "Eukaryotic large subunit ribosomal RNA", at positions 77 to 1037 of the family's 3401-position model. Lineage: Eukaryota; Fungi; Ascomycota; Leotiomycetes; Helotiales; Ploettnerulaceae. The record is from RNAcentral.
ACCUCAGUAACGGCGAGUGAAGCGGUAACAGCUCAAAUUUGAAAGCUGGCUCUUUUAGGGUCCGCGUUGUAAUUUGUAGAAGAUGCUUCGGGUGUGGCCCCGGUCUAAGUUCCUUGGAACAGGACGUCAUAGAGGGUGAGAAUCCCGUAUGUGACUGGGUGCUUUCGCUCAUGUGAAGCUCUUUCGACGAGUCGAGUUGUUUGGGAAUGCAGCUCAAAAUGGGUGGUAAAUUUCAUCUAAAGCUAAAUAUUGGCCAGAGACCGAUAGCGCACAAGUAGAGUGAUCGAAAGAUGAAAAGCACUUUGGAAAGAGAGUUAAACAGUACGUGAAAUUGUUGAAAGGGAAGCGCUUGCAACCAGACUUGCGCGCUGAUGAUCAUCCGGGCUUCUGUCCGGUGCACUCAUCUGCGCUCAGGCCAGCAUCGGUUUCGGUGGUGGGAUAAAGGCCUUGGGAAUGUGGCUCCUCUCGGGGAGUGUUAUAGCCCUCGGUGCAAUGCCGCCUACCGGGACCGAGGACCGCGCUUCGGCUAGGAUGCUGGCGUAAUGGUUGUAAGCGACCCGUCUUGAAACACGGACCAAGGAGUCUAACAUCUAUGCGAGUGUUUGGGUGUCAAACCCAUACGCGUAAUGAAAGUGAACGGAGGUGAGAACCCUUAAGGGUGCAUCAUCGACCGAUCCUGAUGUCUUCGGAUGGAUUUGAGUAAGAGCAUAGCUGUUGGGACCCGAAAGAUGGUGAACUAUGCGUGAAUAGGGUGAAGCCAGAGGAAACUCUGGUGGAGGCUCGCAGCGGUUGUGACGUGCAAAUCGAUCGUGAAAUUUGCGUAUAGGGGCGAAAGAUUAAUCGAACCAUCUAGUAGCUGGUCCCUGCCGAAGUUUCCCUCAGGAUAGCAGUGUGUGAAUUCAGUUUUAUGAGGUAAAGCGAAUGAUUAGAGGCCUUGGGGUC